This 951-nucleotide ribosomal RNA is filed under the name Arthrobacter sp. RNAcentral describes it as "bacterial SSU rRNA". It matches the Rfam family "Bacterial small subunit ribosomal RNA", at positions 553 to 1501 of the family's 1533-position model. Lineage: Bacteria; Bacillati; Actinomycetota; Actinomycetes; Micrococcales; Micrococcaceae. The record is from RNAcentral.
AUUGGGCGUAAGAGCUCGUAGGCGGUUUGUCGCGUCUGCCGUGAAAGUCCGGGGCUCAACUCCGGAUCUGCGGUGGGUACGGGCAGACUAGAGUGAUGUAGGGGAGACUGGAAUUCCUGGUGUAGCGGUGAAAUGCGCAGAUAUCAGGAGGAACACCGAUGGCGAAGGCAGGUCUCUGGGCAUUAACUGACGCUGAGGAGCGAAAGCAUGGGGAGCGAACAGGAUUAGAUACCCUGGUAGUCCAUGCCGUAAACGUUGGGCACUAGGUGUGGGGGACAUUCCACGUUUUCCGCGCCGUAGCUAACGCAUUAAGUGCCCCGCCUGGGGAGUACGGCCGCAAGGCUAAAACUCAAAGGAAUUGACGGGGGCCCGCACAAGCGGCGGAGCAUGCGGAUUAAUUCGAUGCAACGCGAAGAACCUUACCAAGGCUUGACAUGAACCGGUAAUACCUGGAGACAGGUGCCCCGCUUGCGGUCGGUUUACAGGUGGUGCAUGGUUGUCGUCAGCUCGUGUCGUGAGAUGUUGGGUUAAGUCCCGCAACGAGCGCAACCCUCGUUCUAUGUUGCCAGCACGUGAUGGUGGGGACUCAUAGGAGACUGCCGGGGUCAACUCGGAGGAAGGUGGGGACGACGUCAAAUCAUCAUGCCCCUUAUGUCUUGGGCUUCACGCAUGCUACAAUGGCCGGUACAAAGGGUUGCGAUACUGUGAGGUGGAGCUAAUCCCAAAAAGCCGGUCUCAGUUCGGAUUGGGGUCUGCAACUCGACCCCAUGAAGUCGGAGUCGCUAGUAAUCGCAGAUCAGCAACGCUGCGGUGAAUACGUUCCCGGGCCUUGUACACACCGCCCGUCAAGUCACGAAAGUUGGUAACACCCGAAGCCGGUGGCCUAACCCCUUGUGGGAGGGAGCUGUCGAAGUGGGACUGCCGAUUGGGACGAAGUCGUACAGGGUAACC